GCUCAUCUCAUUCCCAUAGAGGCCACCAAACAACUAUCAACUGUGCCGUCGGAUCCCUGCCGCCGGGGCGACCAUCAACCACCACAUCGUAGAAUCGCAGCCCACCCCAUCGCCGGAGAUGAGGCGCCCCAAUCCACCUUCCAUCAGCUCCCCGUGCGCUCGCAGCGCCGAGUCCUACCCCCGGUGGCCCGGUCGUGGGAAGGACACGCUCGCCCCUCAAAGACAUCUUCCUGGUGUCCCCGCAACGGCGAACGCAUCUGUGUGGUGCAGGGGUUCUUCAGCUUCGGACGCGGGCCUCUCGACGAGGAGUACGUCUCCUGUUUCUCCUCUCACGGGGCAGUGCAUAGACGCGGAGUUUUGUUUGGCGAGCGCAACUAUCGAUGAGAAACGGCGAGGCAACUCAGCGGCCAGGUCUUGCUGCAGGGUAGUGAAGGAUUGACGAGCCAAAUAGAGAAAGAUCUGGUAACAAAUGAGAAUGAGAUCAAGGCUGAGGUAUUGUACAUCCAAAGAUCAGACUUGUUUUGUAUUGCUUGAACUGACCGAUGAGGUCCUCUUUCAACUGCUCCAUUUUAUGUUCGAUCAUGCAAUGUUCACAAGCAGUGACCUUGGUUCUGCAUAAAAGUAUCAAGGUGGCAUGCAAUCGUCAGUAUAAGAGGUUGAGGUUUCCUCUUUCUAAUUACAACGAUUACGCCUUGGUUUGUUUUGCAUAAUGGGGAGGGGUUGUAUACCGGUUGACCCUGAUGCCUGGAAGCAAAGAAAAGGCUAGAAGGUUGGUUCCCAAUCAUAAUUGCAUACCUCGGUUUCCGUGGGAACACUCAUACUUCAUGUUCCUGUACACUGUAAUAUGGCCCUGUUAGUCAGUGGAACAGAGAUCAAAAUGAUGCAUCUGUUUUUGGUAAAUGAUGAUUGUUGAUGUUUUUCUAUAUUAAUAAAAAAAAUGUGUGUUUGUUGAUAUUGCUAUGCUGUGUCCAUUCUGCUUUUUGGGCAUAUGCUUAUUUGUAGGUAUGUUGCUCCCUCCCUCUUUUAAUAUAUUUGUAGUUGUUUUCUAAUUGUUUGUGAAAACAGAUUUAUACUGUACAUGCAUAUGAUGUUUUGCCUUCUAUUUCUAAAUUUACAAUUUAUGAUUCUAAAAUAUCCUAUGCGAUAUUGUUUUUUACUCUUUUGUAUUGGCACACCAAGACUGGUCGCGCGGCCACCUCUUUGAGGUCGAGUUCGCAUGCACACUGCAUACUGUCGGGCCUGGAAAUCUACUCAAUAGGUAUAACUCUGAAUUUUCCCCUUACUAGAGGAAGUGGAGCUUUUAUAGUUCAGAAGAUAUCCUUUCAGUUCAUUUUGCUGCAGUCUGGGGCCCUUUUUGUACCUGAACUGAUUGACUAGCCCUAUCUACAACCUUCAGACAUGCAAUUUCUCCAUGAAGCUCUAAGUUUUCGUCUCUCGCCACGAUCCUUGAGUACUGUGGAGCAGCUUCUUCAUCCAGCCUCUUGUUUUCGUCUUCAGCAGGGUCAGUGAAGUUUGUACUAUGUUUUUAGGCAGUGUAUGGUUGUCGAACUUUCUCCUGUUUGCACUUAGUUUCAUUUAGGCACUCAGUAUUUAGCAAAAGUACCACCAAUGAUGCAUAUUAGCACACUAACAGACCGCAUUUUGAUCAUAUGUUCCUCUUGUUUUUUUCUUGAUGCUAUUUUAUCCAGUAAUAAUUUUAUCCAAAUAUAAGAUGAUAGGGACAUAAACAUAUAGAUGCGAUACAAGUUCGUAUGCUUCAGACUACAAGGCGAAUUGCUACAUAAACAGCAGAGAGAGAGCGUGGGGACGGCCUGCCCCACAUCCCAUGAGGCUGGGGUCAACAGAAAUUCCAAACUUAAGCUGCGGUCGGAGAUCUAUGAUUCUUCUUCAUCGAAAGAAGAAACACCUUUUCUGUCAUCCAUGUCUACAUACAUGCAUGCCUGCAAAAGGAAACAUAAUCUCUGCAUUGUGUUACAUUCAGGAGCAUGCAUUUUAUCCCAGUUUUGUACUUCUGAAUUUUUUUGAUUUUAAAUCAAAGGAUGUAAUUGCAAAUGUUGAACUCCCAAGUAGAAAAUAGACAUAUUGAACUUAAUUUUAACUGAUGCUUCUCUUCAUUAUUUUGCCUUUCUUUUCCUUUCCUUCACAGGUAGCUGCCCUAUUCAGGGAGCAGGUUUUUUAUCCAUGAAAGUUAUGUCCUUUCCCUGUUAAUUGUACAUCAUUUCUUUUUUAGGAACAACACACAGAUCAUCUACACGGGCAACAGACGCACAAGAGUAGCUGUCGCAUUGUACCACCUCAUCGCCGAGGCCAACCCUGCCGGCAGGUCCAUGCCGCACUCCACAGAAAGAAAAUCUGACUACAGUGUAAUGAUAGUAUCUGGUCACCGUUUCAUCAAUGUCUAAAAUUAUGCAAGACAAUCAGUCUAUAAAUAAAUAGUUGGGAAGUUUCUCCUACCUAGCGAGGCGUCCAUAUAUAGUUGCCACAGAGACAAACCCAACUAGGCGGUCAACAUCUCAGGUCCUUUGCGGUUCUGUAUAUCCAACUGCAGUAGCCAUUACCAACCUAUUGUAGAUCACUUUAUGCACGUACCAACUAGGUGUACCUUUUUAUUGUAUGAACUACUGUACUUUGCAACUAAUCAAGUCUUGGGACGACUCACCAAACAUUACAAAAAAUCAAAUAACUUACCAAUCCAUAGAGCGCGGCGUGCGCGCACUACCCGCUAGUAAAACUGUCCUUCAACCCUAAACUAGAUGGAUAUGCGCGGUUUGCUGCACCGUGAAUUGCUACGGUGAUUGUAGGAGGGAUUGUUGUGAUGAUCUAUUUGUUACAUGCCAAAGUAUUGGAGCUCCA
Molecule: long non-coding RNA, 2853 nt
Organism: Triticum aestivum (bread wheat)
Lineage: Eukaryota; Viridiplantae; Streptophyta; Magnoliopsida; Poales; Poaceae
Exons: 3
Source: RefSeq, a predicted model, not a curated record